RNAcentral lists this long non-coding RNA (1219 nucleotides) under Cyanistes caeruleus (blue tit). RNAcentral describes it as "lncRNA (ENSCCEG00000001077.1)". The record is from RNAcentral. Lineage: Eukaryota; Metazoa; Chordata; Aves; Passeriformes; Paridae.
AUGAAGCUGAGGUGUGGGAUGUGUGAUGAGCCAAAGCCUCCAAAAUACAACCCUCACCCCAGAAUUUUGGAUCAGCACUGGUCAUCCAUGAUUUUUUUAACAAAUGAUUCUGCUCCCAUUUCAGAUGUCUGUGACUUCCACUUGGCUCAGCAUCCAGCUGUAUUUGAAGAAGCCUGGGGACUAUGGAUGGACCUUUUCCCAUUACACCAGUCGUGCUAGAUUUUGUUCUGAUCAGUAACUACACAUUCUCUGCUUGUGCCAUGGUCGCCCUCCCUCGACUCCUGGCUCAUCCUCCCUUGAGAAGCAGCUCUGCUAUUGCUGACCCCUUAGGGUGGGACCACGAGGUAAAUUGCUUUAAUCAAAGAAAAAAAAAAAUUAAAUUAAAGUAAAAUGACAGUAAAUAUUACUGACUAGAUUGUGUAAUCAAUGACAAGCAAAUGCUCAGUUAAUAUUUCUUCCCAUCCCUGUGACACUUUUGUGUGCACAGAUAUUUUGAUAAGCCUUACUCUGAUUUUUGUUGCAACAGUGGAUAAAGAGCCUUCACUGUCAUCAUCCUGCUCUCCAGUCUUACAAGACACCUCUCCACAUCAUGUCUAAUGACUGCUUUCUCCCUCACAGCUCUCAUGCUACUGCCAUAGCAGCAUGUCACCAUGUAGAUUCAACCACCAUUCCGUUCAACAUCUCUCAUUUCUGCUCUUAGUGGAAAGUGCUGUGUUUGUCUGUCCUCUUUGAACUUCACAGUGCUUUACCAUAACAGUAUUUGGCUUGUUAUUGUUGCUGUUAAACUUUCCAUCUCACCUUUCAUAUUGUAGCUGCAUCUGGUAUUUCUUUUACUUAAACCUUUACAAUCUCAGAUUAAUUUAUUUCAUAAGUCAUUUCAAGCCAUUGAGACAAAUGACUGCUGCAGUCUGACUGUAAGUUUGGUCUAUAUACUUUCCAUUUAACUUUGAUCUGAGAACAUAUCUCAGAGACUGCAUUUCUCUAAAGAACUGUGGAAUUAAGCAAAUGAUAGAUAAAUACUGAAGGCAGUGAUGAUUCAGGUUGUCAGAGAACCAAGGAAUUAUCUGAUGCAUUCUGGAAUUCACAGCUACAUUCAUGAUGGAACAUGAUUAUUGAAAUGGAAGACUUCAGCCUCAGAUAAUUAGGAGUCUGGUGAAAUUCUACUUACUUUUAGAUACAAUCCUCCACACCAUACCUAGAGAAUUAGACAUCAAAAAGU